GGACAAGUGAAUAAGUGCACAUGGUGGAUGCCUUGGCGAUUACAGGCGAUGAAGGACGUAGUAGCUUGCGAUAAGCUGCGGGGAGUGAGCAAACACACUUUGAUCCGCAGAUUUCCGAAUGGGGAAACCCGGCCUUUUAGGUCAUCGUUAUCUGAAUACAUAGGGUAACGAAGCGAACGCGGCGAACUGAAACAUCUAAGUAGCUGCAGGAAAAGAAAUCAACCGAGAUUCCCAAAGUAGUGGCGAGCGAAAUGGGAUGAGCCUUGUACGUGAUAGUCGAUCAGAUAGCAGAAUCUUUUGGAAACAGGAGCCAUAGCGGGUGAUAGCCCCGUAUACGAAAUCUGAACGGUGGUACUAAGCGUACGACAAGUAGGGCGGGACACGUGAAAUCCUGUCUGAAGAUGGGGGGACCAUCCUCCAAGGCUAAAUACUCGUAAUCGACCGAUAGUGAACCAGUACCGUGAGGGAAAGGCGAAAAGAACCCCGGGAGGGGAGUGAAAUAGAACCUGAAACCGUGUGCAUACAAACAGUCGGAGCCUCUUCGUGGGGUGACGGCGUACCUUUUGUAUAAUGGGUCAGCGACUUACAUUCAGUGGCGAGGUUAACCGGAUAGGGGAGCCGUAGAGAAAUCGAGUCCGAACAGGGCGACAGUCGCUGGGUGUAGACCCGAAACCAGGUGAUCUACCCAUGGCCAGGAUGAAGGUGCGGUAACACGCCCUGGAGGUCCGAACCCACUAAUGUUGAAAAAUUAGGGGAUGAGCUGUGGGUAGGGGUGAAAGGCUAAACAAACCUGGAAAUAGCUGGUUCUCUCCGAAAACUAUUUAGGUAGUGCCUCAAGUAUCACCACCGGGGGUAGAGCACUGUUAUGGCUAGGGGGUCAUUGCGACUUACCAAACCAUUGCAAACUCCGAAUACCGGUGAGUGCGAGCUUGGGAGACAGACGUCGGGUGCUAACGUCCGGCGUCAAGAGGGAAACAACCCAGACCGCCAGCUAAGGUCCCAAAGAUUGGCUAAGUGGAAAACGAAGUGGGAAGGCUAAAACAGUCAGGAUGUUGGCUUAGAAGCAGCCAUCAUUUAAAGAAAGCGUAAUAGCUCACUGAUCGAGUCGUCCUGCGCGGAAGAUGUAACGGGGCUAAGCCAGUCACCGAAGCUGCGGAUAU
Molecule: ribosomal RNA, 1160 nt
Filed under: Massilia kyonggiensis
Lineage: Bacteria; Pseudomonadati; Pseudomonadota; Betaproteobacteria; Burkholderiales; Oxalobacteraceae
Description: partial 23S ribosomal RNA
Rfam family: Bacterial large subunit ribosomal RNA
Source: RNAcentral